GUGGAAUUUCGUAUUCCGCCUCGACGGCUGAUGAUGAAACCCAGCUGUAAUCCGAAUAACGCCUCUGAACAUGGUGAUUAAUGUCAAAGACUUCCGGGUUUUUAUAUAUUUUUUGCGAUGCAUUUAGAGGAUUUUUUCUUAUUUAAUUUGUAUUGUUAAUAAUUGUUUUUGUGGCCUCAAUAAUAGUUUAUCUUAAUUAUGUUAAUUACAAGCAAAAUCUAUCUUCUCAAGAUUAUGAUAAGAUACGAUAUUAAUUAUACCUGCAGUGAUUUUUUUAAGUGCAAGGGGCAUGGACUUGAAGAUAUUGGUCUCAUUUCUUUUAAUUGCCUAUUCUUUGGCAAAACAUGAAAAAUAUAAUGGAUACACGGUAUAUAACGUUGUUAUUCGUGAUCGGAACGACAACGCCUUACUUGAUGCUGUUAGAGACGACUUCCAUUUGGACAUCUGGAAAUUUGGCAAUCCAACACGCGAUGCAGCAGUAAUGGUCCCACCGGAAUAUCAGGCUCCAUUUACAAAAGCUUUGAAUAACAAGGGAAUACAGUAUAGAAAUAAAGAGGACAUCUUAAGCGCAUUAGGUGAAUUCGAAAAGGAAUGUAAUCUUUGGAAUCAACGACGCGACUUAGCACAGCCAUUUACGUAUUACGCGCGGAUGGCCGAG
Long non-coding RNA from Pieris brassicae (large cabbage white), 658 nucleotides. RefSeq lists it as uncharacterized. Lineage: Eukaryota; Metazoa; Arthropoda; Insecta; Lepidoptera; Pieridae. The record is from RefSeq and is a predicted model, not a curated record. The transcript has 3 exons.